Molecule: ribosomal RNA, 446 nt
Filed under: uncultured bacterium
Lineage: Bacteria
Description: partial 16S ribosomal RNA
Rfam family: Bacterial small subunit ribosomal RNA
Source: RNAcentral
CCUACGGGUGGCAGCAGUCGAGAAUCAUUCACAAUGGGGGAAACCCUGAUGGUGCGACGCCGCGUGGGGGAAUGAAGGUCUUCGGAUUGUAAACCCUUGUCAUGUGGGAGCAAAUUAAAAAGAUAGAACCACAAGAGGAAGCGACGGCUAACUCUGUGGCAGCAGCAGCGGUAAUACAGAGGUCUCAAGCGUUGUUCGGAAUCACUGGGCGUAAAGCGUGCGUAGGCUGUUUCGUAAGUCGUGUGUGAAAGGCGCGGGCUCAACCCGCGGACGGCACAUGAUACUGCGAGACUAGAGUGAUGGAGGGGGAGCCGGAAUUCUCGGUGUAGCAGUAAAAUGCGUAGAUAUCGAGAGGAACACUCGUGGCGAAGGCGAGUUCCUGGACAUUAACUGACGCUGAGGCACGAAGGCCAGGGGAGCGAAAGGGAUUAGAUACCCCUGUAGUC